This 458-nucleotide ribosomal RNA is filed under the name uncultured bacterium. RNAcentral describes it as "bacterial SSU rRNA". It matches the Rfam family "Bacterial small subunit ribosomal RNA", at positions 30 to 504 of the family's 1533-position model. The record is from RNAcentral.
UGAACGCUGGCGGUGUGCCUAACACAUGCAAGUCGAACGAGCAGCCACGAUUUCUUCGGAUAUUGUGGUGGGCGAGUGGCGAACGGGUGCGUAACACGUAGGGACCUACCCCGAGGAGAGGGACAACCGGUGGAAACGCCGGCUAAGCCCGCAUAGUCUCAACCUCUGAGUUGAGUAAAGCUCCGGCGCCUUGGGAGGGUCCUGCGGCCUAUCAGGUAGUUGGUGGGGUAACGGCCCACCAAGCCGACGACGGGUAGGGGGCGUGAGAGCGUGGCCCCCCACACGGGAACUGAGACACGGUCCCGACGCCUACGGGCGGCAGCAGUGAGGAAUCUUGCGCAAUGGGGGAAACCCUGACGCAGCGACACCGCGUGCGGGAUGAAGGCUUUCGGGUCGUAAACCGCUUUUCUGUGGGACGAGGACGGACGGUACCACAGGAAUAAGUCCCGGCUAACUAC